UUCACCACCCACAACAAAAGGCUCCUCACGCCACACCGCUUCGCAUUCACAAUCGGUUUCUUCACACAUGCCACAACGAUUCUUCUCUUCCCACAAAGAUUCGUUACUCAACCCUCUGUACCUUCUUUGUUCUAUUUAUGUUUUUACGGGAAAGGAAAAAUCCCCUUUAUCUACUAACCUCUACACAUUUUUCCCUCGCCACAUUUUUUGUCACCAAAUGCUACCUUCACGCCAACGAUGUCUAUGGGGAAAAAACUAUUUCUCGCCAACGGUUUGUAAUACUUUCAAAGUUAAUCUGUAUAAUUUAUGCCCUUUUCUUACAUAUUUGCAUCUUCUAAAAUUAUUUACGUCCUAAUCUUAUUGUAUAGGUGUGGACAACCAAGGAUUGGGCUGCCAAAAAUGUCGUAAAGAGAUUGAGGUACAGUCCAAAGCUUCUCUUCAAUAUUAUGCUUUUCCACAAUUCGUAACUAAUGGUGUGAAUAUUCUAGUCUAAUGUUUCUUCCAAAUCAUUACUAAGGAUGUAAACGUUAUGUUAAGAUUCUAACACACUUUAUAUGUUAUCCUUAAAUGUUAUUUAUAUAUAGUUUAGUGUUAUGCAAUUUAGAUUGUACUAGAUUUGUAUUGUACCAUUAGAUUUUAGUAUUGCAUAGUAGUUCAAUUCCCUGUUACUUUAGUUCUUUUCCUCUAAGACUCACACAUUCAACAAUAAUAAGUUUAAAUGUUAUUUAUAUGUAGUUUAGUAAUAUGAAGUUUUAGCAUGUCUUAGAUUUUAAUCGUACACUCAAAUAUUGGUAUUGGAUAGUAGUUCAACUUUCUCCUUCUCUACACUUUUAUGCUUUGCUUGUAGCAACAUAUGCAUUAAACAUAGCUAUAAUAUUGUAAUGAUCAGAAAACUACUUUUUCCAGCAAAAUUGUAAUGCCUUCUUAAUUUUCAUUUGAUUAUAUGUAAAUUUUUGCUAUAUUCAUAUAAUUAUUUAUGUCCUGCUCUACUCUUUUGUGUUUUGCUUGAAGAGCGACAUAUGUAUUUAUCACAACAAUCGAAGUCUAAGAAUCAAAAAAAGAAAUUACCCCAAUAAUAGUGUCAAUAUCAGGAUAUUUAUUUUUAAUUUUCUCACAUCUUGCCUUUUUGGCCAUAUCUAAGUGCUCAGUCUCUUCCUUCAAAAGACACCCCUCUUACUCUUCAUCAGAAGUUGAACCACACGUUGUGUCCUCUUUCCAAUUCCUGUCUUUUCCCCUCAUUUUUUGUUUGCUGAAUUAUGAUGUGUUUCUACUUUUAUUUGGUGUUUGACAUUAAAUAAAGCACAAAUAUAAUUUAUAUUUUGCUCGGUUCUUAUAGGGUUCAAGUUAAAAUAUAAACUGAUUAGUGUAGUUUUCCAUGUGCUUAGACGUUCAUAUUACAACUUAUCUUUUAUCAUAUUCCCACAAUGGAUUAAAAAAUUAUACAUCAUGCGCAUCAAAUUUCUACGAAUAACUGAGAACUCUGUGAUGAUGACUUCAUACUAUACAAUUACUACAAUGAGUUUUGUUGUGGGUUACACUCUAAGUUACAGAUUAGUUUUAUUGGUAUACUAAAUUAUCUUUAUUCAUGCAAGUUGUAAUGCAACGGAUAAAAAUAUUAUCAUGGUACUAUUUCUUUACGAGGUAGUCUAUGCUUGCAUUCAGAAAAUAAUGACCUUAUUCAAUGGAUAAAACUUAAAAGUGCUACAAACUGUGUAAUCACCGAGAAACAAUUAUAUUGCAGAUCACUUACAAGCAAUUCUGCAUUUUCAUCUUUCCUUCUAACAUUUUGUUUGCUGCAUUAUGAUGUGUUUCUAUCUUUAUUGGGUGUUUGACAUUUAAAUAAAGCAUAAAUGGUAGUUUAUAUGAUGAUCGGUUCUUAUAGAGAUCAAGCUAAAUAUAAACUGAUUAAUAUAAUUUUUCAUGUGAUUAUAUGUUCAUAUUACAACUUAUCUGAUAUCUUACAGGAUUCCUAAUAUAUCUUGCACAUCAAAUUUCUGUGAAUAAUUGUCAAGGUAAAUUUUUAUGCUACUUUUAACUUUUUUUUUAGUUUUCCCCAAUUAACAUUGCAUUUAUCACUGUAACUGGUACAAUUAAAGAACUUGGAAUCUCCAUAGAUUUUAUGUUACAGAUUGAAUAUUUGAAAAAUAAAAAGCACAACUAAGAGCCAAAAUAUUUUGAAGGAGUUUUACUCGAUAAUUAAUUCAAAGAUUGACUUCAAAUAUAUUUGCUUACGUAAAGAUAGUAUAUACGCUAUUACAUUUAUGACUUUUUAAUUACAAUGUUGCAGAUAAAUAGUUUAUAAUGCCAUCUUCCAAACUCAUCAUUAGGCCAUCAUCUCCCGGAAUAAAUUUAUUCCACCUACAAUAUAUGUCUUCAAGUGACACGACCCGGAUUUUUCACCCUCGGGAGUCAUAAUGGCGCCGACUAGUGGAAGCUAGGCAAGCCUACCGUUUGAACAAUUUAUUUUUUUCCAUUUUUUAAUCCUUAAUCAAUUAGGAACCAACAGUUUAUAACAGCGAAAUUUAAACUAGCGAAAGAAACAAAUAAAAUCAUUUAAAUAUUUCCAUUACAAUUUCUUAAACAAAUACUACCCAGAACUAGUGCCAUAACUUCACAAACGGUCUAGGAAUACAAAAAAUAAGGUCUGAAAAAAUAAAUACAACACUGUUUUUGAAAUAAGUAAAUAAAACAGGAUGACUUGGAUCUUUGAAUGGACUGAAGGCAGCAACCCCAAGCUAAGGUCCAACAGUUGCUGCACUGGGAUCUGCACACAGUGCAGAGUGUAGUAUCAGCACAACCGACCCCAUGUGCUUUUAAGUGCCUACCCUAACCUCGGCGAAGUAGUGAUGAGGCUAGGACCAGACUACCAAAUAAAUCUGUGCAGAUAAUUCAUAUACAGUAAAAAAAUAAAAGCAGGAGCGUACAGUUAAGAAUGGGAGGGGAAAACAUGUUGCGCGAAAUAUCAAAUAAUAAUAGAAGGACAUCAGGUAAUUACAAGGAACACCAUAACUCAAUUAUCAACAAGAAUCAAAAAUCAAACAAGUGCACGACAUCACCCUUCGUGCUUUUACUCUCGUCCUCACCAUAAGAAUCAAUAUAAUCAGCACGGCAUCACCCUUCGUGCUUUUACUCUCGUCCUCACCAUAAAAUCAAUAUAAUCGGCACAGAAUUGCACAUUGUGCGGCACGGCAUCACCCUUCGUGCUCUUAGACUAUUCAUUACAAAAUCAUAUAUGGCAUCACCAUUCGUGCUUUAACACUCUCUUACCAAAACAAUGCACGGCAUCACCCUUCGUGCUUUAACACUCUUCCACACUAAAUCAACAAUCACAAGAAAUAAGGGCAAGGAAAUAAAUGAAAUCAUAAUAAAAUCCCGGCAAGAGAACAAUAGUACAACAAUCAUAUCCCGACAAGGGAACAAUAUCAAGAACAUCAACAUCCCGGCAAGGCAGAUAGCAUUAAAAGCAACAACAUCCCGGCAAGGGAGAUAAUAUAAUAAUCCUUUUCUCUUUAUCACAUUUACUUUACAACUCACUACACAACUUGAGCCAAUGCUCUAUAAGGUUCAAUUACAAAUUUUACUUCCACAAUUCGUUUUACAACUUGAGCCAACACUCCUCAAUAUUCACUUACCAAUACUACUUCCACAAGCUUUGCUCAACAAUAGAAAUCAUCACAAAAGGCAUAAACAAUUUAAAUAGAGUCAUAAUAAUCAUUAUAUAAGACUCACGGGCAUGCUUGACACUACCAUAUAUAUACUCAUCACCAUACAUCGUACUCAACAAAUAACACAUAGCAAAUAGGACACAACUCUUAAUCCCUCAAGCUAAGGUUAGACCAAACCCUUACCUCGAUGCCACGAACACAAUUCAAGUCUCAACUAUCGCUUUACCUCUUGAUUCCACCACCAAUUCACUCGUAUCUAGCCAUAAGUUACUUAACUAUAUCAAUAAAUGCUAAAUGAACCAAUUCCAAUGCAUGAAAAUAGGUUUUCUAAAGUUUUUCCCAAAAAGUCAAAAAUCGCCCCCGAACCCACAUGGUCAAAACCCGAGGUUCAAACCAAAACCCGAUUAUCCAUUCUCUCACGAACUCAAAUAUAUAAUUUGUUUUGAAAUCGAACCUCAUAUCGAGGUCCAAAUCUCCAAAAUUUGAAAAACCUAGGUUCUGCCCAAAACACCCAAUUCCCCCAUGAAAACCUUUGAUUUUAAGAUGAAAUCGUGAGAAAAGAUGCUAAAGAUUAAUAAAAACAAGUUAGAAACUACUUACAAUCGAUUUGGAAGAGUACUUGUCUUUGAAAAAUCGCCCAAAAGAGUUUAUGUUUUGAAAGAGCUUGAAAUAUGAAAGAUUUUUGGCUAAGUCAUGAAUUUGCAUGUCGCAGAUGUCGCAAUUGCGACCAGGGUUCGCAAUUGCGAACCCUUCAGGACCUGUUACACUCGCAUUUGCGACCACUGUUCGCAAUUGCGAACUCGCAUUUGCGACUAAGGGGGAUUUCUGGGCCUCUUCGCAUUUGCGAAGAAAUGAUCGUAUUUGCGAUCAGCCCUGCCCAGGCCUUCUCUCGCAUUUGCAAUAGGUUAUUCGCAUUUGCGAUCUCAUAUUUACGAGCCAGGAUUUGCAAAUGCAAAGCCUACAGACCUGCAACAUACCGACUAAAAACCUGCAACUUCCUAAGUUUAAAUUUCACUCCGAGGCCUAUCCAAAACUCACCCGAGCACUCGGGGCUCCAAACCAAACAUGUACACUAACCCAAAACAUCAUACGAGCUUUCUAGCACAAUUAAACCAUGAAAAUAACAUGUAAAACUAUGAAUUAAACCUCAAAAUUCAUCAUUUUCAUCAAGAACACUUAAAGCUCAUAAUUCUUCAACCGGAGGUCCAAAUCACGUCAAAUAAACUCCAUUUUUCAUCAAAUUUCACAGUUAUCAUUUAAAUACUUUAAAAAGUUUGUACUAGGCUCCGAAACCAAAAUACGAGCCCGACACCAAUGGUUUCAAACAUUAAUUCUUUUCUUUAUUUCAUAAAUAAUUCAGCAAAAUAAUUUCUUUGAAAAAUUGAUUUCUAAGGCUUGGGAUCUCGGAAUUCAUUUCCGGGCAUACGCCCAAGUCUCAUAUUUUAUUACGAACCUCCCGAGAUUUCGGAACAUGGGUCUGGGGCUGUUUGCUCAAAAUAUUGACCAAAGUCAACCAUAAUCAAAUUUUAACUCUAAAAAUUUCUAUUUCUCAUAUUUUCAUAUAAAAGCUUUCCGGAUAUACGUCCGGAUCACGCACGCAAAUCGAGGUGAGGUAAAAAAGAGGUUUUAAGGCCUCAUAAUACAAAAUUUAUUUCUAAAACAAGUGAUGACAACUUUCGGAUCAUCACAUCAAGGUUUAACUGAGAAGAUUUUCAGACUAUCGUAAGUGCAAAUUGGAUAUCCUUCUCUAAGGCAAAUAUUUGAAGAUAGUAUAUACGUUAUUGAAUUUAUGACUUUUGAGUUAUAUUGUUGCAGAUAGAUACUUUAUAAUACCAUCAUCCAGACUCAUCAUUAGGCCAUCAUCUCCCGGAAUAAAUUUAUUUCACCUACAAUAUAUGUCUUCAAGGUUAACUUUGAAGAUUUUCAGACUAAUGUUAUUUAUAUGUAGUUUAGUGAUAUGAAGUUUUAGACUGUCUUAGCUUUUAUUCGUACCAUCAAAUAUUGGUAUUGGAUAGUAGUUCAACUUCCUCCUUCUCUACACUGUUAUGCUUUGCUUGUCGCAACAUAUGCAUUAAACAUAGCUGCAAUAUUGUAAUGAUCAGGAAAAUACUUUUUCCAGCAAAAUUGUAAUGCCUUCUUAAUUUUCAUUUUAUUAUAUGUAGAUUCUUGCUAUAUUCAUAUAAUUAUGUAUGUCCUGCUCUACUCUUUUGUGUUCUGCUUGAAGAGCAACAUAUGUAUUUAUCACAACAACCAAAGUCUAAGGAUCAAAAAAGAAAUUACCCCAAUAAUAGUGUCAAUAGCAGGAUAUCUAUUUUCAAUUUUCUCACAUCUUACCUUUUUGGCCAUAUCUAAGUGCUCAGUUUUUUCCUUCAAAAGACACCCCUCUUACUCUUAUAUGUAGAUUCUUGCUAUAUUCAUAUAAUUAUGUAUGUCCUGCUCUACUCUUUUGUGUUCUGCUUGAAGAGCAACCUAUGUAUUUAUCACAACAACUGAAGUCUAAGGAUCAAACAAGAAAUUACCCCAAUAAUAGUGUCAAUAUCAGGAUAUUUAUUUUCAAUUUUCUCACAUCUUACCUUUUUGGCCAUAUCUAAGUGCUCAGUUUUUUCCUUCAAAAGACACCCCUCUUACUCUUCAUCAGAACUUGAACCACACAUUGUUUCCUCUUCCCAAUUUCCGUCUUUUCCCCUCACUUUUUGUUUGCUGAAUUAUGACGUGUUUCUACUUUUAUUGGGUAUUUGACAUUAAAUAAAGCAUAAAGGUAAUUUAUAUGAUGCUCGGUUCUUAUAAGGUUCAAGUUAAAAUAUAAACUGAUUAGUGUAGUUUUCCAUGUGCUUAGACGUUCAUAUUACAACUUAUCUUUUAUUAUAUUCCCACAAUGGAUUAAAAAAUUAUAUAUCAUGCGCAUCAAAUUUGUAUGAAUAACUGAGAACUCUGUGAUGAUGACUUCAUACUAUACAAUUACUGCAUUGCGUUUUGCCGGGGGUUACAUUCUAAGUUACAGAUUAGUUUUAUUGGUAUACUAAAUUAUCUUUAUUCAUGCAAGUUGUAAUGCAACGGAUAAAAAUAUUACCAUGGUACUAUUUCUUUAUGAGGUAGUCUAUGCUUGCAUUCAGAAAAUGAUGACCUUAUUCAAUGAAUAAAACUUAAAAGUGCUGCAAACUGUGUAAUCACCGAGAAACAAUUAUAUUGCAGAUCACAUGCAAGCAAUUCUGCAUUUUUUAUCUUUCCUUCUAACAUUUUGUUUGCUGCAUUAUGAUGUGUUUCUACCUUUAUUGGGUAUUUAACAUUUAAAUAAAGCAUAAAUGGUAGUUUAUAUAAUGGUCGAUUCUUAUAGAGAUCAAGUUAAACGUAAAUUGAUUAGUAUAGUUUUUCAUGUGAUUAUAUGUUCAUAUUACAACUUAUCUUAUAUCUUACAGGAUUCCUAAUAUAUCUUGCACAUCAAAUUUCUAUGAAUAAUUAUCAAGGUAAAUUUUUAUGCUACAUUUAACAUUUUUUUUAGUUUUCCCCAAUUAACAUUACAUUUAUCACUGUAACUGGUACAAUUAAAGAACUUGAAAUCUCCAUAGAUUUUAUGUUACGGAUUGAAUAUUUGAAAAAUAAAAAGCACAACUAAGAGCCAAAAUAUUUUGAAGGAGUUUUACCUGAUAAUUAAUUCAAAGUUUGACUUCAAAUAUAUUUGUGUACGUAAAGAUAGUAUAUACAUUAUUGCAUUUAUGACUUUUGAAUUACAUUGUUGCAGAUAAAUAGUUUAUAAUGCCAUCUUCCAAACUUAUCAUUAGGCCAUCAUCUCCCGAAAUAAAUUUAUUCCACCUACAAUAUGUGUCUUCAAGGUUUAAGUGAGAAGAUUUUCAGACUAUCAUAGGUACAAAUUGAAUAUCCUUCUCUAAGACAAACAUUUGAAGUUAGUAUAUGCGUUAUUGCAUUUACGACUUUUGAGUUACAUUGUUGCAGAUAGAUACUUUAUAAUACCAUCAUCCAGAUUCAUCAUUAGGCUAUCAUCUCCCAGAAUAAAUUUAUUCCACCUACAAUAUGCGUCUUCAAGGUUAACUUUCAAGAUUUUCAGACUAUCGUAGGUGCAAAUUGGAUAUCCUUCGCUAAGACAAAUAUUUGAAGAUAAUAUAUACGUUAUUGCAUUUAUGACUUUUGAGUUACAUUUUUGCAGAUAAAUAGUUUAUAAUGCCAUAUUCCAGACUCAUCAUUAGGCCAUCAUCUCCUGGAAUAAAUUUAUUCCACCUACAAUAUGUGUUUUCAAGGUUUAAGUGAGAAGAUUUUCAGACUAUCGUAGGUGCAAAUUGGAUAUCCUUCUCUAAGGCAAAUAUUUGAAGAUAGUAUAUACGUUAUUGCAUUUAUGACUUUUGAGUUACAUUGUUGCAGAUAAAUAGUUUAUAAUGCCAUCUUCCAGACUCAUCAUUAGGCCAUCAUCUCCCGGAAUAAAUUUAUUCCACCUACAAUAUGUGUCUUCAAGGUUAACUGAGAAGAUUUUCAGACUAUCGUAGGUCCAAAUUGGAUAUCCUUCUCUAAGGCAAAUAUUUGAAAAUAUGCCGACAUUGUUACCAACAUCCAGAGACGGCCUAAAUCCGAUCAGUAAAUAUGAUAUCAUGACGGAGUAAGGAACUUUACUAAGCAAAUAGAGAGUGACUUACUCUUGCAACAACUUUAUUCUGCUUGCAAUUGUUUGGUUAUCUUUAUGUCAAGGGCUAUAUAUGGAUUGAAAACAAUAACUACACUAAGGUAUAUAUGGUUUAUAUUCUUUUAUUGCAUUAUUUUCUGGAUGCAGAAAGAUCUUUUCUACUUUUGAUUUUGGGUUCCCGAUGUGCGAUAUACAUAAUACAGUAAACUAUCUCUUUUUCUGUAUACAUGGAUUUUCUAGCUUUUCACGCUACAAAGUCCAUAGUUUGAUGGUUUGUUCAUUUUCAUGUCAUUUGUCA
Molecule: long non-coding RNA, 8593 nt
Filed under: Nicotiana tabacum (common tobacco)
Lineage: Eukaryota; Viridiplantae; Streptophyta; Magnoliopsida; Solanales; Solanaceae
Description: long non-coding RNA (NTAB_LNC000466)
Source: RNAcentral